UACGGGAGGCAGCAGUGAGGAAUAUUGCACAAUGGAGGAAACUCUGAUGCAGCCAUGCCGCGUGCAGGAAGACUGCCCUAUGGGUUGUAAACUGCUUUUAUACAGGAAGAAACACACCUACGUGUAGGUGCUUGACGGUACUGUAAGAAUAAGCACCGGCUAACUCCGUGCCAGCAGCCGCGGUAAU
Molecule: ribosomal RNA, 187 nt
Filed under: uncultured bacterium
Lineage: Bacteria
Description: partial 16S ribosomal RNA
Rfam family: Bacterial small subunit ribosomal RNA
Source: RNAcentral